AUGCCGCGUGUGUGAAGAAGGCCUUCGGGUUGUAAAGCACUUUUGUCCGGAAAGAAAACCUCCGUCCUAAUACGGUGGGGGGAUGACGGUACCGGAAGAAUAAGCACCGGCUAACUACGUGCCAGCAGCCGCGGUAAUACGUAGGGUGCAAGCGUUAAUCGGAAUUACUGGGCGUAAAGCGUGCGCAGGCGGUUCGCUAAGACCGAUGUGAAAUCCCCGGGCUUAACCUGGGAACUGCAUUGGUGACUGGCGGGCUAGAGUAUGGCAGAGGGGGGUAGAAUUCCACGUGUAGCAGUGAAAUGCGUAGAGAUGUGGAGGAAUACCGAUGGCGAAGGCAGCCCCCUGGGCCAAUACUGACGCUCAUGCACGAAAGCGUGGGGAGCAAACAGGAUUAGAUACCCUGGUAGUCCACGCCCUAAACGAUGUCAACUAGUUGUCGGGUCUUCAUUGACUUGGUAACGAAGCUAACGCGUGAAGUUGACCGCCUGGGGAGUACGGUCGCAAGAUUAAAACUCAAAGGAAUUGACGGGGACC
RNAcentral lists this ribosomal RNA (534 nucleotides) under Burkholderia sp. CC-CC5. RNAcentral's name for it is "bacterial SSU rRNA". It matches the Rfam family "Bacterial small subunit ribosomal RNA", at positions 394 to 921 of the family's 1533-position model. The record is from RNAcentral. Lineage: Bacteria; Pseudomonadati; Pseudomonadota; Betaproteobacteria; Burkholderiales; Burkholderiaceae.